CCUACGGGGGGCUGCAGUGAGGAAUAUUGGUCAAUGGACGCAAGCCUGAACCAGCCAUGCCGCGUGCAGGAAGAAGGCUCUAUGAGUUGUAAACUGCUUUUGUACGAGGGUAAAGGCAGGUACGCGUACUUUUUUGAAAGUAUCUUACGAAUAAGGAUCGGCUAACUCCGUGCCAGCAGCCGCGGUAAUACGGAGGAUUCAAGCGUUAUCCGGAUUUAUUGGGUUUAAAGGGUGCGUAGGCGGUCUGAUAAGUUAGAGGUGAAAUCCCGAGGCUCAACCUCGGAAUUGCCGCUGAUACUGUUCGGCUAGAGAAUAGUUGCGGUAGGCGGAAUGUAUGGUGUAGCGGUGAAAUGCUUAGAGAUCAUACAGAACACCGAUUGCGAAGGCAGCUUACCAAGCUACUUCUGACGUUGAGGCACGAAAGCGUGGGGAGCAAACAGGAUUAGAUACCCCUGUAGUC
Molecule: ribosomal RNA, 460 nt
Filed under: uncultured bacterium
Lineage: Bacteria
Description: partial 16S ribosomal RNA
Rfam family: Bacterial small subunit ribosomal RNA
Source: RNAcentral